Molecule: non-coding RNA, 145 nt
Organism: Mytilinidion resinicola
Lineage: Eukaryota; Fungi; Ascomycota; Dothideomycetes; Mytilinidiales; Mytilinidiaceae
Source: the annotation of a RefSeq genome assembly
GCUCUCUUGGCUUAGUGGUUAGAGCGCGUGGGUUAUAGCAGUUUCAUCUACUUACACGACUCGUCUCGGCUUCGGCUGGGCGGGGCGUGGUAGCUUGGGCUGACAAUUUCACACGAGGUCCUCGGUUCGAUCCCGAGAAGGGGCA